UAAAAUUAAAAAAAAAAUGAACUGUGUUCCUUCCAAAUUCAUACAUUGAAGUUCUAACCCCCAGGACUCCACAAUGUGACCUUUUUUGGAAAUAAGGGUUAUUGCUGGUGUAAUUAGUUAAGAUUAGGUCAUACUAAAGUAGGGUGGGUCCUUAUUUUAGUGGGACUGGUGUCCUCACAAAAAGGGGAAAUUGGGAAACAGAUGCACACACAGGGAGAACACCCUGUGAAGAUGAAGACAAAAAUGAGGGUGACACCAACGCUUGCCAGCAAAGCUUCAGGAAGUAGGAGAGAAGCAUGAACAGAACCAGCCCUGCUGACCCCUUGAUCUUGGAUUUCCAGCCUCCAGAACGGACUUCAGCAAAAUGUGGGAUGAGAACCUGACAUGAACCAGCUCUGUGACUGCCCUUAGCCUGUGCCCACUCAUCAUCUAGCAUUUAGCUACCACCAUCUGGAGAGAAAGGCACUGUCAUCUGCCACUCAAGUACUUUGCUCCAUGAAAGACACUGAGGACAAGUCUGGAUCUGUAACUGACACCCAUCGGAUGGAACUCUUACUGCCAGAGUGGGCAACACCAU
Long non-coding RNA from Lynx canadensis (Canada lynx), 577 nucleotides. RefSeq lists it as uncharacterized. Lineage: Eukaryota; Metazoa; Chordata; Mammalia; Carnivora; Felidae. The record is from RefSeq and is a predicted model, not a curated record. The transcript is spliced from 2 exons.